Molecule: long non-coding RNA, 791 nt
Organism: Anopheles arabiensis
Lineage: Eukaryota; Metazoa; Arthropoda; Insecta; Diptera; Culicidae
Exons: 3
Source: RefSeq, a predicted model, not a curated record
CGCGUUCCUCGUGGCCACCGUUUUCCAUCUUAUAGCAGGGACGGCGGGAAUGUUCGUAGGCACACUCGCGCACUACCCGCACAUGAUCCGAGCGGUGGACGGCCCUGAGCGUCCGGUGGACAUUCGACCAGCAGCCGUCCGGGUAUGGUGCGAUUGUCCCGGUACUCCUCCUCGGUGAAGUUGGCCGGCAGUGAAAAGCAUUCCGAGUUGUCGUACGAGUUGCAGGUGUAGCAACGGAGUGCGGUUGCUAAGGAGAAUUGAAGCAAAAAACAACAUAUCCAUAGUAAAGCGAGAUCUUUUAGCUGUCUGUCUUAGUAGCAAGUGGAAUCCAGUUGGAGGUGGUUGAAGAAGCUUUAAAAAUAGUGCAAGAUGCCGGGGAAGAAAGGCAAGAUAACGAGCUUCCGGGAUGGACACCAUCAAAGGAUAAGCAAGCUUUCCUGGAAGGGCCGGAGGUCGGCAAUUGUUUAUCCAGUCCAGUUCUCGUAUCGAACACAACGAAAUCAUGAAUUAUUAAUGGGAAGAUGGCCUUUACUCACACACACACAAAUCCUCUCAGGGACACUAGGACACACAGAAACACGUGGUCACAAGGUGCUGGAACCACUAACGAAGUGGCUGUAUUUUCAUGACACUCGAACCGGUCGGUAAAACGCAUGGAAAAUGCAAACAGAUUUUCCAAUCAUACAUUUCACCGCACGUGGUCAUCGCACCUUGUCCACCUUGCCCCGUGGUUGUGGUGGUGGGACAGCAUAAAUAAACAAUCCAGCAGCAGGUGUCGACGAUGCGUCCAA